Non-coding RNA from Parelaphostrongylus tenuis, 73 nucleotides. The record is from the annotation of a GenBank genome assembly. NCBI's taxonomy places the organism in Eukaryota, Metazoa, Nematoda, Chromadorea, Rhabditida, Metastrongylidae.
GCGUCGGUAGUGCAACGGUUCAGGACGCCCUCCCGGAUAGGAUGAAAUAUGGGUUCAAAUCCCAGCUGACGCA